GCUACGGGUGGCAGCAGUGGGGGAUAUUGGACAAUGGGGGCAACCCUGACCCAGCAACGCCGCGUGAGGGAAGAAGGAUUUCGGGUUGUAAAGCUCUGUUGACAGGGAAGAGUAGAAUGCCGGACCCGGCGAAUAAGCCACGGCUAACUACGGGCCAGGCGCCGCGGUAAUACGGUAGGGGGAAGCGGUAUCCGGAUUUACUGGGGGUAAAGGGCGUGUAGAAGGGUGGACAAGUCAGGUGUUAAAUGCUGCGGCUUAACCCCCGAACGGCAUUGGAAACUGUUGAUCUUGAGUGCUGGAGAGGUAAGCGGAAUUCCUAGUGUAGCGGUGAAAUGCGUAGAUAUUAGGAGGAACACCAGUGGCGAAGGCGGUCUGCUGGACAGUAACUGACGUUGAGGCGCGAAAGCGUGGGGAGCAAACAGGAUUAGAUACCCGUGUAGUC
This 442-nucleotide ribosomal RNA is filed under the name uncultured bacterium. RNAcentral's name for it is "partial 16S ribosomal RNA". It matches the Rfam family "Bacterial small subunit ribosomal RNA", at positions 338 to 795 of the family's 1533-position model. The record is from RNAcentral.